This 2774-nucleotide ribosomal RNA is filed under the name Escherichia coli. RNAcentral's name for it is "bacterial LSU rRNA". It matches the Rfam family "Bacterial large subunit ribosomal RNA". Lineage: Bacteria; Pseudomonadati; Pseudomonadota; Gammaproteobacteria; Enterobacterales; Enterobacteriaceae. The record is from RNAcentral.
AGCGUACACGGUGGAUGCCCUGGCAGUCAGAGGCGAUGAAGGACGUGCUAAUCUGCGAUAAGCGUCGGUAAGGUGAUAUGAACCGUUAUAACCGGCGAUUUCCGAAUGGGGAAACCCAGUGUGAUUCGUCACACUAUCAUUAACUGAAUCCAUAGGUUAAUGAGGCGAACCGGGGGAACUGAAACAUCUAAGUACCCCGAGGAAAAGAAAUCAACCGAGAUUCCCCCAGUAGCGGCGAGCGAACGGGGAGGAGCCCAGAGCCUGAAUCAGUGUGUGUGUUAGUGGAAGCGUCUGGAAAGGCGCGCGAUACAGGGUGACAGCCCCGUACACAAAAAUGCACAUGCUGUGAGCUCGAUGAGUAGGGCGGGACACGUGGUAUCCUGUCUGAAUAUGGGGGGACCAUCCUCCAAGGCUAAAUACUCCUGACUGACCGAUAGUGAACCAGUACCGUGAGGGAAAGGCGAAAAGAACCCCGGCGAGGGGAGUGAAAAAGAACCUGAAACCGUGUACGUACAAGCAGUGGGAGCACGCUUCGGCGUGUGACUGCGUACCUUUUGUAUAAUGGGUCAGCGACUUAUAUUCUGUAGCAAGGUUAACCGAAUAGGGGAGCCGAAGGGAAACCGAGUCUUAACUGGGCGUUAAGUUGCAGGGUAUAGACCCGAAACCCGGUGAUCUAGCCAUGGGCAGGUUGAAGGUUGGGUAACACUAACUGGAGGACCGAACCGACUAAUGUUGAAAAAUUAGCGGAUGACUUGUGGCUGGGGGUGAAAGGCCAAUCAAACCGGGAGAUAGCUGGUUCUCCCCGAAAGCUAUUUAGGUAGCGCCUCGUGAAUUCAUCUCCGGGGGUAGAGCACUGUUUCGGCAAGGGGGUCAUCCCGACUUACCAACCCGAUGCAAACUGCGAAUACCGGAGAAUGUUAUCACGGGAGACACACGGCGGGUGCUAACGUCCGUCGUGAAGAGGGAAACAACCCAGACCGCCAGCUAAGGUCCCAAAGUCAUGGUUAAGUGGGAAACGAUGUGGGAAGGCCCAGACAGCCAGGAUGUUGGCUUAGAAGCAGCCAUCAUUUAAAGAAAGCGUAAUAGCUCACUGGUCGAGUCGGCCUGCGCGGAAGAUGUAACGGGGCUAAACCAUGCACCGAAGCUGCGGCAGCGACACUAUGUGUUGUUGGGUAGGGGAGCGUUCUGUAAGCCUGUGAAGGUGUACUGUGAGGUAUGCUGGAGGUAUCAGAAGUGCGAAUGCUGACAUAAGUAACGAUAAAGCGGGUGAAAAGCCCGCUCGCCGGAAGACCAAGGGUUCCUGUCCAACGUUAAUCGGGGCAGGGUGAGUCGACCCCUAAGGCGAGGCCGAAAGGCGUAGUCGAUGGGAAACAGGUUAAUAUUCCUGUACUUGGUGUUACUGCGAAGGGGGGACGGAGAAGGCUAUGUUGGCCGGGCGACGGUUGUCCCGGUUUAAGCGUGUAGGCUGGUUUUCCAGGCAAAUCCGGAAAAUCAAGGCUGAGGCGUGAUGACGAGGCACUACGGUGCUGAAGCAACAAAUGCCCUGCUUCCAGGAAAAGCCUCUAAGCAUCAGGUAACAUCAAAUCGUACCCCAAACCGACACAGGUGGUCAGGUAGAGAAUACCAAGGCGCUUGAGAGAACUCGGGUGAAGGAACUAGGCAAAAUGGUGCCGUAACUUCGGGAGAAGGCACGCUGAUAUGUAGGUGAAGCGACUUGCUCGUGGAGCUGAAAUCAGUCGAAGAUACCAGCUGGCUGCAACUGUUUAUUAAAAACACAGCACUGUGCAAACACGAAAGUGGACGUAUACGGUGUGACGCCUGCCCGGUGCCGGAAGGUUAAUUGAUGGGGUUAGCGGUAACGCGAAGCUCUUGAUCGAAGCCCCGGUAAACGGCGGCCGUAACUAUAACGGUCCUAAGGUAGCGAAAUUCCUUGUCGGGUAAGUUCCGACCUGCACGAAUGGCGUAAUGAUGGCCAGGCUGUCUCCACCCGAGACUCAGUGAAAUUGAACUCGCUGUGAAGAUGCAGUGUACCCGCGGCAAGACGGAAAGACCCCGUGAACCUUUACUAUAGCUUGACACUGAACAUUGAGCCUUGAUGUGUAGGAUAGGUGGGAGGCUUUGAAGUGUGGACGCCAGUCUGCAUGGAGCCGACCUUGAAAUACCACCCUUUAAUGUUUGAUGUUCUAACGUUGGCCCCUGAUCGGGGUUGCGGACAGUGUCUGGUGGGUAGUUUGACUGGGGCGGUCUCCUCCUAAAGAGUAACGGAGGAGCACGAAGGUUGGCUAAUCCUGGUCGGACAUCAGGAGGUUAGUGCAAUGGCAUAAGCCAGCUUGACUGCGAGCGUGACGGCGCGAGCAGGUGCGAAAGCAGGUCAUAGUGAUCCGGUGGUUCUGAAUGGAAGGGCCAUCGCUCAACGGAUAAAAGGUACUCCGGGGAUAACAGGCUGAUACCGCCCAAGAGUUCAUAUCGACGGCGGUGUUUGGCACCUCGAUGUCGGCUCAUCACAUCCUGGGGCUGAAGUAGGUCCCAAGGGUAUGGCUGUUCGCCAUUUAAAGUGGUACGCGAGCUGGGUUUAGAACGUCGUGAGACAGUUCGGUCCCUAUCUGCCGUGGGCGCUGGAGAACUGAGGGGGGCUGCUCCUAGUACGAGAGGACCGGAGUGGACGCAUCACUGGUGUUCGGGUUGUCAUGCCAAUGGCACUGCCCGGUAGCUAAAUGCGGAAGAGAUAAGUGCUGAAAGCAUCUAAGCACGAAACUUGCCCCGAGAUGAGUUCU